This 2968-nucleotide ribosomal RNA is filed under the name Streptococcus pneumoniae. RNAcentral describes it as "23S ribosomal RNA". It matches the Rfam family "Bacterial large subunit ribosomal RNA". Lineage: Bacteria; Bacillati; Bacillota; Bacilli; Lactobacillales; Streptococcaceae. The record is from RNAcentral.
UUAAGUUAAUAAGGGCGCACGGUGGAUGCCUUGGCACUAGGAGCCGACGAAGGACGUGACAAACGACGAUAUGCCUUGGGUAGCUGUAAGUAAGCGAUGAUCCAGGGAUUUCCGAAUGGGGGAACCCAACAGGUAAUACCUGUUACCCACAUCUGUUAAGGAUGUGAGGAGGAAGACGCAGUGAACUGAAACAUCUAAGUAGCUGCAGGAAGAGAAAGCAAAAGCGAUUGCCUUAGUAGCGGCGAGCGAAACGGCAGAAGGGCAAACCGAAGAGUUUACUCUUCGGGGUUGUAGGACUGCAAUGUGGACUCAAAGAUUAUAGAAGAAUGAUUUGGGAAGAUCAGCCAAAGAGAGUAAUAGCCUCGUAUUUAAAAUAGUCUUUGUACCUAGCAGUAUCCUGAGUACGGCGGGACACGUGAAAUCCCGUCGGAAUCUGGGAGGACCAUCUCCCAACCCUAAAUACUCCCUAGUGACCGAUAGUGAACCAGUACCGUGAGGGAAAGGUGAAAAGCACCCCGGGAGGGGAGUGAAAUAGAACCUGAAACCGUGUGCCUACAACAAGUUCGAGCCCGUUAAUGGGUGAGAGCGUGCCUUUUGUAGAAUGAACCGGCGAGUUACGUUAUGAUGCGAGGUUAAGUUGAAGAGACGGAGCCGUAGGGAAACCGAGUCUGAAUAGGGCGCCUUAGUAUCAUGACGUAGACCCGAAACCAUGUGACCUACCCAUGAGCAGGUUGAAGGUGCGGUAAGACGCACUGGAGGACCGAACCAGGGCACGUUGAAAAGUGCUUGGAUGACUUGUGGGUAGCGGAGAAAUUCCAAACGAACUUGGAGAUAGCUGGUUCUCUCCGAAAUAGCUUUAGGGCUAGCGUCGACAUUAGAGAUUCUUGGAGGUAGAGCACUGUUUGGGUGAGGGGUCCAUCCCGGAUUACCAAUCUCAGAUAAACUCCGAAUGCCAAUGAAUUAUGGUCGGCAGUCAGACUGCGAGUGCUAAGAUCCGUAGUCGAAAGGGAAACAGCCCAGACCACCAGCUAAGGUCCCAAAAUAAUUGUUAAGUGGAAAAGGAUGUGGGGUUGCACAGACAACUAGGAUGUUAGCUUAGAAGCAGCUAUUCAUUCAAAGAGUGCGUAAUAGCUCACUAGUCGAGUGACCCUGCGCCGAAAAUGUACCGGGGCUAAAACAAUUUACCGAAGCUGUGGAUACCUUUAUAGGUAUGGUAGGAGAGCGUUCUAUGUGUGAUGAAGGUAUACCGUGAGGAGUGCUGGAACGCAUAGAAGUGAGAAUGCCGGUAUGAGUAGCGAAAGACAGGUGAGAAUCCUGUCCACCGUAAGACUAAGGUUUCCAGGGGAAGGCUCGUCCGCCCUGGGUUAGUCGGGACCUAAGGAGAGACCGAAAGGUGUAUCCGAUGGACAACAGGUUGAUAUUCCUGUACUAGAGUAUGUAGUGAUGGAGGGACGCAGUAGGCUAACUAAAGCAGACGAUUGGAAGAGUCUGUCUAAGCAGUGAGGUGUGAAUUNNNNNNNNNNNNNNNNNNNNNNNNNNNNNNNNNNNNNNNNNNNNNNNNNNNNNNNNNNNNNNNNNNNNNAGUCAAAUGCUUAAUUCUAUAACAUUGAGCUGUGAUGGGGAGCGAAGUUUAGUAGCGAAGUUAGUGACGUCACACUGCCAAGAAAAGCUUCUAGCGUUUAAACAUACUCUACCCGUACCGCAAACCGACACAGGUAGUCGAGGCGAGUAGCCUCAGGUGAGCGAGAGAACUCUCGUUAAGGAACUCGGCAAAAUGACCCCGUAACUUCGGGAGAAGGGGUGCUGACUUAAAGUCAGCCGCAGUGAAUAGGCCCAAGCAACUGUUUAUCAAAAACACAGCUCUCUGCUAAAUCGUAAGAUGAUGUAUAGGGGGUGACGCCUGCCCGGUGCUGGAAGGUUAAGAGGAGUGCUUAGCGUAAGCGAAGGUAUGAAUUGAAGCCCCAGUAAACGGCGGCCGUAACUAUAACGGUCCUAAGGUAGCGAAAUUCCUUGUCGGGUAAGUUCCGACCCGCACGAAAGGCGUAAUGAUUUGGGCACUGUCUCAACGAGAGACUCGGUGAAAUUUUAGUACCUGUGAAGAUGCAGGUUACCCGCGACAGGACGGAAAGACCCCAUGGAGCUUUACUGCAGUUUGAUAUUGAGUGUCUGUACCACAUGUACAGGAUAGGUAGGAGUCUAAGAGAUCGGGACGCCAGUUUCGAAGGAGACGCUGUUGGGAUACUACCCUUGUGUUAUGGCCACUCUAACCCAGAUAGGUGAUCCCUAUCGGAGACAGUGUCUGACGGGCAGUUUGACUGGGGCGGUCGCCUCCUAAAAGGUAACGGAGGCGCCCAAAGGUUCCCUCAGAAUGGUUGGAAAUCAUUCGCAGAGUGUAAAGGUAUAAGGGAGCUUGACUGCGAGAGCUACAACUCGAGCAGGGACGAAAGUCGGGCUUAGUGAUCCGGUGGUUCCGUAUGGAAGGGCCAUCGCUCAACGGAUAAAAGCUACCCUGGGGAUAACAGGCUUAUCUCCCCCAAGAGUUCACAUCGACGGGGAGGUUUGGCACCUCGAUGUCGGCUCGUCGCAUCCUGGGGCUGUAGUCGGUCCCAAGGGUUGGGCUGUUCGCCCAUUAAAGCGGCACGCGAGCUGGGUUCAGAACGUCGUGAGACAGUUCGGUCCCUAUCCGUCGCGGGCGUAGGAAAUUUGAGAGGAUCUGCUCCUAGUACGAGAGGACCAGAGUGGACUUACCGCUGGUGUACCAGUUGUCUUGCCAAAGGCAUCGCUGGGUAGCUAUGUAGGGAAGGGAUAAACGCUGAAAGCAUCUAAGUGUGAAACCCACCUCAAGAUGAGAUUUCCCAUGAUUAUAUAUCAGUAAGAGCCCUGAGAGAUGAUCAGGUAGAUAGGUUAGAAGUGGAAGUGUGGCGACACAUGUAGCGGACUAAUACUAAUAGCUCGAGGACUUAUCCAA